GACGAACGCUGGCGGCGUGCCUAAUACAUGCAAGUCGAACGGACAGGCGCUGCGUUUGUUGGUUGCACGAUUGGCGAACGGGUGUGUAACACGUGAGUAACCUCCCCCUGACUUACGGAUAACAUCUGGAAACUGCGGCUAAUACCGGAUAGGAUCUCCUGCUGCAUGUUGUUGGAUGGUAAGUUACGGCGGUUGGGGAUGGACUCGCUGCUUAUCAGCUUGUUUGUGAGGUAGUGGCUUACCAAGGUUACGACGGGUAGCCCGCCUGAGAGGGUUAACGGCGACAAUGGGCCUGAGGGAGGGAGCAGAAGGGAACGGUAGGCAGCAGUGGAAAGCAUGGCGCAGUAGGGCCACGCCAGAGACAAAGACGCCGGGUGCGGAAUGCCCGCCUUCGGGGUAUAAACAGCUUUGGAAGGUAACGAAGAGUGAGUGACGGUAAUUGAUCAGGAAGCAACGGCUAACUACGUG
RNAcentral lists this ribosomal RNA (468 nucleotides) under uncultured bacterium. RNAcentral's name for it is "partial 16S ribosomal RNA". It matches the Rfam family "Bacterial small subunit ribosomal RNA", at positions 28 to 507 of the family's 1533-position model. The record is from RNAcentral.